Molecule: ribosomal RNA, 486 nt
Filed under: uncultured bacterium
Lineage: Bacteria
Description: bacterial SSU rRNA
Rfam family: Bacterial small subunit ribosomal RNA
Source: RNAcentral
CUACGUGCCAGCAGCCGCGGUAAUACGUAGGUCCCGAGCGUUAUCCGGAUUUAUUGGGCGUAAAGCGAGCGCAGGCGGUUAGAUAAGUCUGAAGUUAAAGGCUGUGGCUUAACCAUAGUACGCUUUGGAAACUGUUUAACUUGAGUGCAGAAGGGGAGAGUGGAAUUCCAUGUGUAGCGGUGAAAUGCGUAGAGAUGUGGAGGAAUACCGAUGGCGAAGGCAGCCCCCUGGGAUAAUACUGACGUUCAUGCUCGAAAGCGUGGGUAGCAAACAGGAUUAGAUACCCUGGUAGUCCACGCCCUAAACGAUGUCAAUUAGCUGUUGGUGCACUAGAUGCAUUAGUAGCGAAGCUAACGCGUGAAAUUGACCGCCUGGGGAGUACGGUCGCAAGAUUAAAACUCAAAGGAAUUGACGGGGACCCGCACAAGCGGUGGAUGAUGUGGAUUAAUUCGAUGCAACGCGAAGAACCUUACCUGGUCUUGACAU